RNAcentral lists this ribosomal RNA (253 nucleotides) under uncultured bacterium. RNAcentral's name for it is "partial 16S ribosomal RNA". It matches the Rfam family "Bacterial small subunit ribosomal RNA", at positions 524 to 776 of the family's 1533-position model. The record is from RNAcentral.
UACGUAGGGUGCGAGCGUUGUCCGGAAUUACUGGGCGUAAAGAGCUCGUAGGUGGUUUGUCGCGUUGUUCGUGAAAACUCACAGCUUAACUGUGGGCGUGCGGGCGAUACGGGCAGACUGGAGUACUGCAGGGGAGACUGGAAUUCCUGGUGUAGCGGUGGAAUGCGCAGAUAUCAGGAGGAACACCGAUGGCGAAGGCGGGUCUCUGGGCAGUAACUGACGCUGAGGAGCGAAAGCGUGGGGAGCGAACAGG